RNAcentral lists this ribosomal RNA (497 nucleotides) under uncultured bacterium. RNAcentral describes it as "partial 16S ribosomal RNA". It matches the Rfam family "Bacterial small subunit ribosomal RNA", at positions 28 to 507 of the family's 1533-position model. The record is from RNAcentral.
GAUGAACGCUGGCGGCGUGCCUAAUACAUGCAAGUCGAGCGAACAGACGAGGAGCUUGCUCCUUUGACGUUAGCGGCGGACGGGUGAGUAACACGUAGGUAACCUACCUAUAAGACUGGGAUAACUUCGGGAAACCGGAGCUAAUACCGGAUAAUAUUUCGAACCGCAUGGUUCGAUAGUGAAAGAUGGCUUUGCUAUCACUUAUAGAUGGACCUGCGCCGUAUUAGCUAGUUGGUAAGGUAACGGCUUACCAAGGCAACGAUACGUAGCCGACCUGAGAGGGUGAUCGGCCACACUGGAAGUGAGACGCGGUCCAGACUCCUACGGGAGGCAGCAGUAGGGAAUCUUCCGCAAUGGGCGAAAGCCUGACGGAGCAACGCCGCGUGAGUGAUGAAGGUCUUCGGAUCGUAAUACUCGGUUAUUAGGGAAGAACAAACGUGUAAGGAACUGUGCACGUCUUGACGGUAACUAAUCAGAAAGCCACGGCUAACUACGUG